UGUGGCAAUGUAACAAAGACAUAGAAGAGCAACAACCUCCUGGUAACUCUAUGGACUUGGGUAAUUAUUAAACUAGUAGCAAUCAUAACAGAUUCAUGUGAAGGGCACCUGCCUCUUCUCCUGAUACCAGAAUGAUGCCCUACCAGAUUCUAACCCAGAAAAUCUGACUCCUUGAGACACAGAUUCUCUGGCAACCAACUGCAUGUGCAUGGUCUUGGCUCAUCUGAAGACCCCUUAUUGAUUUUGCAUCUGGACAUAGUGGGCCAACACUGUAUGAUGUACAAGGUGUCAGUAAAGCCUGCAGGGGAUCCUUAGAUCAUAAGAAAAUGACAAGUCUCAUUGUUCCUGUGGGGGAGCAGACACAGAGACCAAAUGAUUUAACUCUUUCAAGUACUCUGAUACUUGAAGAUCUAGCCAAGUGUCAGGUCCUUACCACUGAUAGACUUCAAGACUGUGGGAACGCAUCUGGGGAACUUUCACCUCAUGGCUUCUAAAAGCAACAGUAAAACAAACAACUGUUUUUGAGAAUUCUUGUAGAUUAUGCAUGACUAGAAAGUACAUGAAAAAGUUGCAAAAAAAUGCUAUUGGAGAACAAAAGUAAAUCUCAAGUUUCUUUAUACUGAGAAUUGGCAUAUUGAUGAGGCCAUCUGGGUGUCUGCAAAGGUGUGAGGUUCAUCAGGGGCACAGAGGAAAAUCAGACCUGUCUUUCUUCUAGCACACCUCAGCAGCCAAUUCAAAACUGCACAGUGAAGCAGGAGGAGACUCUGCAGAACCCUCUUCUUUCAUGCCCACAGAGGUUUACCAAAGCGCUCUUCAGCAUUCCAGGCCCCUUGAAUACAGGCUAAUUUUUUUUUUUCAGAGUCCAUUUAAUUGAUUCUUUUCCCCUGGAAACAAAAGCCAGCC
This is a long non-coding RNA of Zalophus californianus (California sea lion), 903 nucleotides long. RefSeq lists it as uncharacterized. NCBI's taxonomy places the organism in Eukaryota, Metazoa, Chordata, Mammalia, Carnivora, Otariidae. The record is from RefSeq and is a predicted model, not a curated record. The transcript is spliced from 6 exons.